This 495-nucleotide ribosomal RNA is filed under the name uncultured bacterium. Its description in RNAcentral is "partial 16S ribosomal RNA". It matches the Rfam family "Bacterial small subunit ribosomal RNA", at positions 28 to 507 of the family's 1533-position model. The record is from RNAcentral.
GACGAACGCUGGCGGCGUGCCUAAUACAUGCAAGUAGAACGCUGAAGGAGGAGCUUGCUCUUCUGGAUGAGUUGCGAACGGGUGAGUAACGCGUAGGUAACCUGCCUGGUAGCGGGGGAUAACUAUUGGAAACGAUAGCUAAUACCGCAUAACAGUAGAUGUUGCAUGACAUUUGCUUAAAAGGUGCAAUUGCAUCACUACCAGAUGGACCUGCGUUGUAUUAGCUAGUUGGUGGGGUAACGGCUCACCAAGGCGACGAUACAUAGCCGACCUGAGAGGGUGAUCGGCCACACUGGGACUGAGACACGGCCCAGACUCCUACGGGAGGCAGCAGUAGGGAAUCUUCGGCAAUGGACGGAAGUCUGACCGAGCAACGCCGCGGGAGUGAAGAAGGGUGUCGGAUCGUAAAGCUCGGUUGUAAGAGAAGAACGAGUGUGAGAGUGGAAAGUUCACACUGUGACGGUAUCUUACCAGAAAGGGACGGCUAACUACGUG